Molecule: unclassified non-coding RNA, 222 nt
Filed under: Rhizophagus sp. (in: glomeromycetes)
Lineage: Eukaryota; Fungi; Glomeromycota; Glomeromycetes; Glomerales; Glomeraceae
Description: partial contains 5.8S ribosomal RNA and internal transcribed spacer 2
Rfam family: 5.8S ribosomal RNA (bases 1-71)
Source: RNAcentral
GUGAAUCAUCGAAUUUUUGAACGCAAAUUGCGCUUCCUAGCAUCCCGGGAAGUAUACCUGUUUGAGGGUCAGUAUUAACAACAAAGUCGGUUUGGUUGCAAAUUGUGACGUUUCCGGGGUUUGGGCUAUCUUAACCUGUUUGGUUAAGGGGCUUAAAAUUGACCUUUUUGGCGUAUUUUUAGACGUACAUAAAUUUUUUUUUUAUUCCUUUAUUAUUAUUGC